UGCAGUCGAACGGCAGCACGGACUUCGGUCUGGUGGCGAGUGGCGAACGGGUGAGUAAUAUAUCGGAACAUACCCAGUAGUGGGGGAUAACUAUCCGAAAGGAUAGCUAAUACCGCAUACGAUCUGUGGAUGAAAGCAGGGGAUCUUCGGACCUUGUGCUAUUGGAAUGGCCGAUAUCUGAUUAGCUAGUUGGUAGGGUAAAAGCCUACCAAGGCGACGAUCAGUAGCUGGUCUGAGAGGACGACCAGCCACACUGGAACUGAGACACGGUCCAGACUCCUACGGGAGGCAGCAGUGGGGAAUUUUGGACAAUGGGGGCAACCCUGAUCCAGCAAUGCCGCGUGAGUGAAGAAGGCCCUCGGGUUGUAAAGCUCUUUUGUCAGGGAAGAAACGGAGUUCUCUAAUAUAGGAUUCUAAUGACGGUACCUGAAGAAUAAGCACCGGCUAACUACGUGCCAGCAGCCGCGGUAAUACGUAGGGUGCAAGCGUUAAUCGGAAUUACUGGGCGUAAAGCGUGCGCAGGCGGUUUUGUAAGUCUGAUGUGAAAUCCCCGGGCUCAACCUGGGAACUGCAUUGGAGACUGCAAGGCUAGAGUGUGUCAGAGGAGGGUAGAAUUCCACGUGUAGCAGUGAAAUGCGUAGAGAUGUGGAGGAAUACCGAUGGCGAAGGCAGCCCCCUGGGAUAACACUGACGCUCAUGCACGAAAGCGUGGGGAGCAAACAGGAUUAGAUACCCUGGUAGUCCACGCCCCAAACGAUGUCUACUAGUUGUCGGGACUUAAUUGUCUUGUUAACGCAGCUAACGCGUGAAGUAGACCGCCUGGGGAGUACGGUCGCAAGAUUAAAACUCAAAGGAGUUGACGGGGACCCGCACAAGCGGUGGAUGAUGUGGAUUAACUCGAUGCAACGCGAAAAACCUUACCUACCCUUGACAUGGCAGGAAUCCCGAAGAGAUUUGGGAGUGCUCGCAAGAGAACCUGCACACAGGUGCUGCAUGGCUGUCGUCAGCUCGUGUCGUGAGAUGUUGGGUUAAGUCCCGCAACGAGCGCAACCCUUGUCAUUAGUUGCUACGAAAGGGCACUCUAAUGAGACUGCCGGUGACAAACCGGAGGAAGGUGGGAUGACGUCAAGUCCUCAUGGCCCUUAUGGGUAGGGCUUCACACGUCAUACAAUGGUACAUACAGAGGGCCGCCAACCCGCGAGGGGGAGCUAAUCCCAGAAAGUGUAUCGUAGUCCGGAUUGUAGUCUGCAACUCGACUACAUGAAGUUGGAAUCGCUAGUAAUCGCGGAUCAGCAUGUCGCGGUGAAUACGUUCCCGGGUCUUGUACACACCGCCCGUCACACCAUGGGAGCGGGUUCUGCCAGAAGUAGGUAGCUUAACCGCAAGGAGGGCGCU
This 1395-nucleotide ribosomal RNA is filed under the name uncultured bacterium. RNAcentral's name for it is "bacterial SSU rRNA". It matches the Rfam family "Bacterial small subunit ribosomal RNA". The record is from RNAcentral.